Molecule: ribosomal RNA, 679 nt
Filed under: uncultured Lachnospiraceae bacterium
Lineage: Bacteria; Bacillati; Bacillota; Clostridia; Lachnospirales; Lachnospiraceae
Description: bacterial SSU rRNA
Rfam family: Bacterial small subunit ribosomal RNA
Source: RNAcentral
CGGCGUGCUUAACACAUGCAAGUCGAACGAGAAUCUGCGGAUCGAGGAUUCGUCCAAGUGAAGUAGAGGACAGUGGCGGACGGGUGAGUAACGCGUGAGGAACCUGCCUUUCAGAGGGGGACAACAGUUGGAAACGACUGCUAAUACCGCAUGACACAUUGGGGUCGCAUGGCCCUGAUGUCAAAGAUUUAUCGCUGAAAGAUGGCCUCGCGUCUGAUUAGCUAGUUGGUGAGGUAACGGCCCACCAAGGCGACGAUCAGUAGCCGGACUGAGAGGUUGACCGGCCACAUUGGGACUGAGAUACGGCCCAGACUCCUACGGGAGGCAGCAGUGGGGAAUAUUGGGCAAUGGGCGCAAGCCUGACCCAGCAACGCCGCGUGAAGGAAGAAGGCUUUCGGGUUGUAAACUUCUUUUGUCAGGGACGAGUAGAAGACGGUACCUGACGAAUAAGCCACGGCUAACUACGUGCCAGCAGCCGCGGUAAUACGUAGGUGGCAAGCGUUGUCCGGAUUUACUGGGUGUAAAGGGCGUGUAGCCGGGAAGGCAAGUCAGAUGUGAAAUCCACGGGCUCAACUCGUGAACUGCAUUUGAAACUGUUUUUCUUGAGUAUCGGAGAGGCAAUCGGAAUUCCUAGUGUAGCGGUGAAAUGCGUAGAUAUUAGGAGGAACACCAGUGGCGA